This 378-nucleotide ribosomal RNA is filed under the name uncultured eukaryote. RNAcentral describes it as "partial 18S ribosomal RNA". It matches the Rfam family "Eukaryotic small subunit ribosomal RNA", at positions 592 to 976 of the family's 1831-position model. The record is from RNAcentral.
CAAUAGCGUAUAUUUAAGUUGUUGCAGUUAAAAAGCUCGUAGUUGGAUUUCGGGUGUGAACGACCGGUCCGUCUUUGAUGUGUACUGGUUGGUUGCGCCUUAUUGUCGAGGACGUGGUUCUAGCUUUCAUUAGCCGGGACACGGAGUCGGCAGCGUUACUUUGAGAAAAUUAGAGUGUUCAAAGCAGGCUAUCGCUCUGAAUACCACAGCAUGGAAUAACACGAUAGGACUCCGAGCCUAUUCUGUUGGUCUUCGGGACCGGAGUAAUGAUUAAGAGGGACAGUUGGGGGCAUUCGUAUUCCGAUGUCAGAGGUGAAAUUCUUGGAUUAUCGGAAGACGAACAUCUGCGAAAGCAUUUGCCAAGGAUGUUUUCAUUAA